This 449-nucleotide ribosomal RNA is filed under the name uncultured bacterium. RNAcentral describes it as "partial 16S ribosomal RNA". It matches the Rfam family "Bacterial small subunit ribosomal RNA", at positions 29 to 523 of the family's 1533-position model. The record is from RNAcentral.
AACGAACGCUGGCGGCAGGCUUAACACAUGCAAGUCGAACGGUGUAGCAAUACACAGUGGCAGACGGGUGAGGAACACGUGGGAACAUCCCUUUCAGUUCGGAAUAACGUUGGGACACUAACGCUACAACCGGAUAUGUCUUGCGCGAGAAAGAUUUAUCGCUGAAAGAUUGGCCCGCGUCUGAUUAGCUAGUUGGUGAGGUAAUGGCUCACCAAGGCGACGAUCAGUAGCAGAUCUGUGAGGAUGAACAGCCACAUUGGGACUGAGACACGGCCCAAACUCCUACGGGAGGCAGCAGUGGGGAAUAUUGAACAAUGGGGGCAAGCCUGAUCCAGCCAUGCCGCGUGAGUGAUGAAGGCUUUCGGGUUGUAAAGCUCUUUUGUCCGGGAAGAAAAUGACUGUACCGGAAGAAUAAGCCCCGGCUAACUUCGUGCCAGCCGCCGCCGUAA